Molecule: unclassified non-coding RNA, 227 nt
Filed under: Spirosphaera carici-graminis
Lineage: Eukaryota; Fungi; Ascomycota; Leotiomycetes; Helotiales
Description: partial internal transcribed spacer region
Rfam family: Eukaryotic small subunit ribosomal RNA (bases 1-46)
Source: RNAcentral
AAGUCGUAACAAGGUUUCCGUAGGUGAACCUGCGGAAGGAUCAUUAAUAAUGAAGCCGGGCAACCGGUCCUUCUAACCCUUGAUUAUCUUAAUUUGUUGCUUUGGUGGGCCGCGCAAGCACCGGCUUAGGCUGGAUCGUGCCCGCCAGAGGACCCCAACUCUGUAUCAAAUAUUGUCUGAGUACUAUAAAAUAGUUAAAACUUUCAACAACGGAUCUCUUGGUUCUG